GACGAACGCUGGCGGCGUGCCUAAUACAUGCAAGUAGAACGCUGAAGAGAGGAGCUUGCUCUUCUUGGAUGAGUUGCGCACGGGUGAGUAACGCGUAGGUAACCUGCCUGGUAGCGGGGGAUAACUAUUGGAAACGAUAGCUAAUACCGCAUAAAAUGGAUUAUCGCAUGAUAAUCCAUUGAAAGGUGCAAAUGCAUCACUACCAGAUGGACCUGCGUUGUAUUAGCUAGUUGGUGGGGUAACGGCUCACCAAGGGGAGGAUACAGAGCCGACCUGAGAGGGUGGGCGGCCAGACUGGGACGGAGACACGGCCCAGACUGCUACGGGAGGCAGCAGUAGGGAAUCGGCGGCAAUGGAUGGAAGUCUGACCGAGCAACGCCGCGUGAGUGAAGAAGGUUUUCGGAUCGUAAAGCUCUGUUGUAAGAGAAGAACGAGUGUGAGAGUGGAAAGUUCACACUGUGACGGUAUCUUACCAGAAAGGGACGGCUAACUACGUG
This 497-nucleotide ribosomal RNA is filed under the name uncultured bacterium. Its description in RNAcentral is "partial 16S ribosomal RNA". It matches the Rfam family "Bacterial small subunit ribosomal RNA", at positions 28 to 507 of the family's 1533-position model. The record is from RNAcentral.